GACGAACGCUGGCGGCGUGCUUAACACAUGCAAGUCGAACGGAAAGGCCCUGCUUUUGUGGGGUGCUCGAGUGGCGAACAGGUGAGUAACACGUGAGUAACCUGCCCUUGACUUUGGGAUAACUUCAGGAAACUGGGGCUAAUACCGGAUAGGAGCUCCUGCUGCAUGGUGGGGGUUGGAAAGUUUCGGCGGUUAGGGAUGGACUCGCGGCUUAUCAGCUUGUUGGUGGGGUAGUGGCUUACCAAGGCUUUGACGGGUAGCCGGCCUGAGAGGGUGACCGGCCACAUUGGGACUGAGAUACGGCCCAGACUCCUACGGGAGGCAGCAGUGGGGAAUAUUGCACAAUGGGCGGAAGCCUGAUGCAGCAACGCCGCGUGCGGGAUGACGGCCUUCGGGUUGUAAACCGCUUUCGCCUGUGACGAAGCGUGAGUGACGGUAAUGGGUAAAGAAGCACCGGCUAACUACGUG
RNAcentral lists this ribosomal RNA (468 nucleotides) under uncultured bacterium. RNAcentral's name for it is "partial 16S ribosomal RNA". It matches the Rfam family "Bacterial small subunit ribosomal RNA", at positions 28 to 507 of the family's 1533-position model. The record is from RNAcentral.